ACGUAGGGUGCAAGCGUUAAUCGGAAUUACUGGGCGUAAAGCGUGCGCAGGCGGUUUUGUAAGACAGUGGUGAAAUCCCCGGGCUCAACCUGGGAACUGCCAUUGUGACUGCAAGGCUAGAGUGCGGCAGAGGGGGAUGGAAUUCCGCGUGUAGCAGUGAAAUGCGUAGAUAUGCGGAGGAACACCGAUGGCGAAGGCAAUCCCCUGGGCCUGCACUGACGCUCAUGCACGAAAGCGUGGGGAGCAAACAGGAUUAGAUACCCUGGUACUCAAGGGCG
This 278-nucleotide ribosomal RNA is filed under the name uncultured Burkholderiales bacterium. RNAcentral describes it as "partial 16S ribosomal RNA". It matches the Rfam family "Bacterial small subunit ribosomal RNA", at positions 525 to 802 of the family's 1533-position model. The record is from RNAcentral. Lineage: Bacteria; Pseudomonadati; Pseudomonadota; Betaproteobacteria; Burkholderiales.